RNAcentral lists this ribosomal RNA (443 nucleotides) under uncultured bacterium. RNAcentral describes it as "SSU rRNA". It matches the Rfam family "Bacterial small subunit ribosomal RNA", at positions 26 to 518 of the family's 1533-position model. The record is from RNAcentral.
AGAACGAACGCUGGCGGCAGGCUUAACACAUGCAAGUCGAGCGCCCCGCAAGGGGAGCGGCAGACGGGUGAGUAACGCGUGGGAACGUACCCCCCGGUUCGGAAUAACUCAGGGAAACUUGAGCUAAUACCGGAUACGGCUGGAAGGCGAAAGAUUCAUCGCCGGGGGAUCGGCCCGCGUCCGAUUAGCUAGUUGGUGUGGUAACGGCGCACCAAGGCGACGAUCGGUAGCUGGUCUGAGAGGAUGAUCAGCCACAUUGGGACUGAGACACGGCCCAAACUCCUACGGGAGGCAGCAGUGGGGAAUAUUGGACAAUGGGCGCAAGCCUGAUCCAGCCAUGCCGCGUGAGUGAUGAAGGCCUUAGGGUUGUAAAGCUCUUUCACCCACGACGAUAAUGACGGUAGUGGGAGAAGAAGCCCGGCUAACUUCGCGCCAGCAGCCGC